RNAcentral lists this ribosomal RNA (465 nucleotides) under Vreelandella stevensii. Its description in RNAcentral is "partial 16S ribosomal RNA". It matches the Rfam family "Bacterial small subunit ribosomal RNA", at positions 338 to 795 of the family's 1533-position model. Lineage: Bacteria; Pseudomonadati; Pseudomonadota; Gammaproteobacteria; Oceanospirillales; Halomonadaceae. The record is from RNAcentral.
CCUACGGGUGGCAGCAGUGGGGAAUAUUGGACAAUGGGCGAAAGCCUGAUCCAGCCAUGCCGCGUGUGUGAAGAAGGCCUUCGGGUUGUAAAGCACUUUCAGUGGGGAAGAAAGCCUUGGGGCUAAUACCCUCGAGGAAGGACAUCACCCACAGAAGAAGCACCGGCUAACUCCGUGCCAGCAGCCGCGGUAAUACGGAGGGUGCGAGCGUUAAUCGGAAUUACUGGGCGUAAAGCGCGCGUAGGCGGUCUGAUAAGCCGGUUGUGAAAGCCCCGGGCUCAACCUGGGAACGGCAUCCGGAACUGUCAGGCUAGAGUGCAGGAGAGGAAGGUAGAAUUCCCGGUGUAGCGGUGAAAUGCGUAGAGAUCGGGAGGAAUACCAGUGGCGAAGGCGGCCUUCUGGACUGACACUGACGCUGAGGUGCGAAAGCGUGGGUAACAAACAGGAUUAGAUACCCCAGUAGUC